AGCUAAUAGAUACCCUGGUAGUCCUGGCCCUCAACGUUGCUCGCUCGUUUUACGGAGUAUCGACCCUCUGUGAGACUAAAGCUAACGCGGUAAGCGAGCCGCCUGGGUAGUACGAUCGCAAGAUUAAAACUCAAAGGAAUAGACGGGGACUCGCACACGCAGUGGAUUAUGCGGCUUAAUUCGUCGGUAAACGAAGAACCUUACCAAGGUUAGAAACCCAACUGCAUCCGACCUGAAAGGGACGGAGCCUUCGAGGGUGUUGGGCAGGUGAUGCAUGGUCGUCGUCAGUUCGUGGUUUGAACUGUUCCCUUCAGUGGGGU
RNAcentral lists this ribosomal RNA (320 nucleotides) under uncultured bacterium. RNAcentral describes it as "bacterial SSU rRNA". It matches the Rfam family "Bacterial small subunit ribosomal RNA", at positions 767 to 1090 of the family's 1533-position model. The record is from RNAcentral.